UCCUACUUGUUAUUUAUCACUGCCAAUGCCAGUCGAAAAGGAAGUACCAGUUGACCUGUAUAUGGCUUACAUGGAUCUUUUAGCAGAAAGUUUUCUGCUUUCAAGGGAUUCGAAGAGUUUGCAAAAUAUUAUGUCUCUAGGAUUCCACAGUUUUACGUAAUUCAAUUGACAAGAAAUUUAUACUGAUUCUUGUUUUAUUUUUCUAAAGGCAGAUUCGUUAUUAUAAAGAAUUGGGAAAGAAAGCUGACGGAAGCUCAGUGCCAAAAAAAUUAUGGUAGUUGGCAUGAUGACCGAAGCUCUUCGGAUUCGUUUAUUUCACGCGUUAUGGUAUUUAAAGAAAAUAAAGGUGUUCAAUACCUGGGCCCCUUUGUAUCUGUGACCCGAUUUCCUCUUCACCUGUGAUAAUUCUGCAGCGGGUCAUGCAGAUACUGUGAUCAAUAGAGAAGGUUGGAAGUGCGCUGCCCGAAAAGCAAAUUUGGGGUAAAAGAAAAAAAACUUAUUCCAACUAGUAAGCCAUUUCCAAAUUCAACCAACAAAAAGGUACACAGAGAGAUUUGCUUAACAAUUAUGUUUCUUUUAAUUGAUUUAAAUUAGGAAAAGGUGGAAGGAAAAACUUUGUUCUCUGGUAGUUUUUUAGUUAAAAUCCUUUUUGUGCAAAUUCAUUUUUGAAAUUGUUUACUUCAAUUUCAAAUGGUUCCGUCCACAUUUGUUGUCAUUUCAGAUGUUAUAUGUACCAGUUACUGCAUUAUAUUUACCACUAUUGCAAGAUGUUUGUUUAGGAAUUACCACUGUUUUGUUUGUCUGGAAUUUUGUGUGGGAGUCCAACAGGAAUUGUUGGUCUGCAGUAAAUUUGUCAGGCUAGGUAAUGAAGAUUAAUGAAUCAGAAAAUGUUUUGCAUGGUUGGUGAAUGUUCUGACAGUUUUAACAGUUGUGAUGUGGUGUGGUGUAUUUUACUCACCUCACUUCAUCUUGACUCAUCUAGUAGAAGUUGGUGACCUGAAACAAAAAACAUGGAAAAAUCACCUGUGCCCACGUUGACGAUGUCUGUGUUGAAGUGCUGGAAACUGAAAUUAAUUUUCUUUACAAUUUGGUUUCAGGCUAGCUUUAUAAUUUUCUAAUCGUUUUGCGUUUAUUGAUGAGUCCGCAAUCUCAUAGCUGAUUUUCUCCUUUUGAUACCGCCUGUCGACGAUUUGACAGCCUCACACAAUUAAAGAACGUAUGCUAAAAAGCCAAAGUGAGCUCUUCCGAGCAGAAAAGUGACGGCGUAUCCAUUUAAUUGAAAAUAGGCUCAAGAUAACGCACAAUGGCGUUCUUGUCCCAAAGGAGAAAUUUUUCCGUGGAACUUAUGACCGAAAUAGCAUUGCAGCUGUUUAAAAAAAAGGAAAUUGUAUUAUCAUACAGAUGUUGACUAGCUAACAAUCCAGAGAUACGUCAACUUGCGAAAUUUCUAGAUGUGUGUGAAGCGCAAUCAAAUCUUUGUUGAACUGUGUAUCGUUUGU
Molecule: long non-coding RNA, 1499 nt
Organism: Daphnia carinata
Lineage: Eukaryota; Metazoa; Arthropoda; Branchiopoda; Diplostraca; Daphniidae
Exons: 3
Source: RefSeq, a predicted model, not a curated record